Molecule: RNA transcript, 2586 nt
Organism: Vicia villosa (hairy vetch)
Lineage: Eukaryota; Viridiplantae; Streptophyta; Magnoliopsida; Fabales; Fabaceae
Exons: 4
Source: RefSeq, a predicted model, not a curated record
CCUCCUUCACUCACAAAAUAAAAUUUCUUUUCUUUCCUUUCUCUGCGCGACCACGACAGCUUCGCCGUAGAUCUCCCUCCACGACACAUCGAGCCACCACGACAUAGCAAGCCACCUGCCCCCGGCGAAACCACGGCAAUGCCACCCACCUGCCCGUGGCGAAACCCUGCCCGACGGUGCGCGCGACCCACCUUUCGGCGGCAAAACCCAGUUCGACGGUGACCCACCUCCGGUUCAGCCUGCCUGUGCGACUGCAUAGCCUCCUUUCCAACCCAAAAGUUAUUUUGUUUUUCUUCUUUCUUUUGCCGAAACCUCUUCUUUCUAUUUAAUAGCAAAUGAAACUGAAACCCUAAUUGGCAUUGUGUUCGUUCUUCACUCUCUCAGCCGCGAAAACAUUUGCGAUUAUGAUAAUUAGCAUUAGCCAUGGCUUCUUCGAUAACUGUGAAGGAAUUUCUCCUCACGAAUUCGUCAAGGCUUACUCCGCUCAUCUCAAACGGCAAGAUGGAGCUGCCUGAAUAGACUGAUAUUGUGAAAAUUGCAAAGUUCAAAGAAUUGGCUCCCUAUGAUCCCGAUUGGUAUUACAUUAGGGCUGGUGAGAUAUAUUCUCUCACAACUUUACUUCAUGAAUGUGAUUAAACACUAUACUUGGAUUUGAUUCCCAUUUUUAGGCGCUUGUGACAACUUUUGAUUUCAAACUCAGUUUUGAUUUUUUGACCACAUGCAUUUUUGGUCCUUUGCUGAGCUUAGAAUUAUUAUUAGAAAACUUUAGCAUUUCAUUUUUACAUAGCAUUUUGUAUUAUGAAUUGGUGGUUUGGUUUCCUCUUUGAUAUUGUUUUUGACUCAUGAGUUGUAUCUACUGAUAGUCUUGGAUCAAGUUUUUAAACGUUUAAUGAUGUUGUUUAUGUUAUUUAGGUGAAAACUGUUGUCCAUGAUUGCAUUUGUGGUUGGUUUGAUCCACUUUUUGUGAUAAAUAUUAGACAAAUUAAUUAUUUAUAAAUUUCUUAAUUUAAAAAAAUAAUUUUGGUUUCUUUACAAUAUUAUUUUCCUACACUGUGCCUGAUAUGAAGUGAGUGUAAAUAAUAAUGGUUAUAAUGAUUAUGAUGGUAAGAUUUAAGAAGUCAUGCUAAACUUUAUUUAUUUUUGAAUUGAAGGUUCCAAAGGGUUGUGUUGUGUUACUGUAUAGGAAGGCUGGGUCAAUAUCUUUGAAUUAGAAAGAUUGAUUUUAACUACAUAUAAGUUGAUAAGUUGAAGUGGAUGAUAAAUGGUAUCUAAAGUUAUUCUAAAGUUUUAGCUGUAGGAAAUAUUCUAAAGGUGUGGCAGAGACUUUGAUUCUUUGAUAAAUCUAUGUAAUAUAGCUGUAGGAAAUAUUUAAGGCUAGUUUUAGAAAUCAAUUGUACGUAUCCAACUUUAGUUGGUCUAACUAUUUGUUAGCAAUCCAUGGUUUUGGUACUGGAGCAUAUAUAGUAGCCAAUUUUUUAUGGUUGUUGAAGUGAUAUUAACCUUAUUUUAAUUGGUGAUUAUUUCAUCUUAAGAAUUUCAUGUGCUUGGGUAGUGUUUUUUUAUUCUUAUUAUUUGGAAUGUUUUUAUUCAAUGCAACAAUGGAUGAUUUGAAUUUUGUGACAGAUCUUGUUGUUGAUAUCACUUUAGGAUGGAUGUUUUUUGUAAACCAUAAUCCACACAUUUGUCGUCCAAUUAUGAUUUGUGCUUUGCCAUGGCAAGGACUGGGUAUUGCUCUUAGCUUCUCAUAGAUGAUGACUUAGAAUAUACAAACUUCAAAAACAGCCAGGACAUGAAGUUAGAUUACUUGGGAAAUAGAAAUUUUUUGUAGUGGAUCUUUUUACUAGAACUUCUUUGAUUUUGAUCUCAAUCAAUUUGUUACUUUUGGUUGAUUAUGUAAUAGAAUGAAUGUUCUCUUUGCAAUCUAUCCCCGAUGUGCCAUUAUAUGGAAGAAUUGUUACGCUUGAACUUUUUCGCCCUCAUGGUGAAGCACAGGAUUUUUUGUUUAUUGCUACUGAAAGAUACAAAUUCUGUGUUCUUCAAUGGGAUACGGAGACUUCUGAACUUGUUAUACGCAAAUGUGUGAUUUUGGUGUUGUCUACCGAAGCUACAAAUGCUCUUAUUGUGGAUUGCAUGUUGGUAUUUCAAGGACGGGAAAAGACUUAUAAAUGGUUGGAUUUUGUAUGGUUUCACUUGUUUUGUUAUUGUAGUAAUCCACCAUAACUUUCUUAUAAUUUUGUACAAUUGUGUGUAACCUAGAUUGAUACUUGUAAAUCAUUUACUUGUAAAUCAUUUGUUCAUUUUGGAAGAAUAUAUAUAUAUAUAUAUAUAUAUAUAUAUAUAAUCUCCUAACAAUUUCGUGCAAUGAAAUUAUGCUUCAGCUUCAGUAGUUGUUAGAAAAAUAUGAAAUAGUGAUCAAAGUGUGGGUUGUGUGAUAUUGGCAAAAUAUGAAAAAUUAGGUAAAAAACUUACAGGAGAUGAAACCGGCCUUUUCAUGAAAAAAUUACAUCAGGCCAACUACAAAGCCGAUGUAAAAACAUACUUUUUACAUCGGUCUAUACGGGAAACCGAUGUAAAAUAUUGCACAUA